GGCCUCAACUUGACAGUUUUGGAA
Molecule: non-coding RNA, 24 nt
Filed under: Arabidopsis thaliana (thale cress)
Lineage: Eukaryota; Viridiplantae; Streptophyta; Magnoliopsida; Brassicales; Brassicaceae
Source: RNAcentral